AAUCAACGCUGGCGGCGUGCCUCAGACAUGCAAGUCGAACGAUUAAACUUUCCUUCGGGAAAGAUAUAAAGUGGCGCACGGGUGAGUAACACGUAGGUAAUGUACCUUUGGGUGGGGAAUAACCAUCGGAAACGAUGGCUAAUACCGCAUAAUGCAGCGGCAUCGCAAGAUGACAGUUGUUAAAGAUUUAUCGCCUAAAGAGCAGCCUGCGGCAGAUUAGGUAGNGGUAAGGUAAUGGCUUACCAAGCCUGCGAUCUGUAACCGACCUGAGAGGGUGGUCGGUCACACUGACACUGAAU
This 299-nucleotide ribosomal RNA is filed under the name uncultured bacterium. RNAcentral's name for it is "partial 16S ribosomal RNA". It matches the Rfam family "Bacterial small subunit ribosomal RNA", at positions 32 to 324 of the family's 1533-position model. The record is from RNAcentral.